Molecule: long non-coding RNA, 487 nt
Organism: Acomys russatus (golden spiny mouse)
Lineage: Eukaryota; Metazoa; Chordata; Mammalia; Rodentia; Muridae
Exons: 3
Source: RefSeq, a predicted model, not a curated record
GCGCAUGCGCAGCUCGCAGCCACGUCCCGGAAGCCGGGGAGGCGACGCACGUGAGUCAUCAGAGAGCGCCGGAAGCGUUGCGCCCCGCGCCGGAAGCGAUGGAGAUUUUAACAGGGGACCCCAUUGCCACGUGCCUUUCUCCUUUAGUGCAUGACCUGAUUUGUAACGUUGGAUUUGAACUCAGAGAAGUUUGUGAUAUCAAUAGCAUUGUAACUCAAAAUGGUCAAGUAUGCUGGGAAGCAAUUACGGACCGCGUGAGCUAUACAGAAUCAGGCCAGAGCCUGGAUUACAGGAGAAGCGUGCAGCUCUUGGGUCCUGUGUGUGAGGCCGUCCAUCUACAUGUCUUAUCCCUGACCAGGGCACAGUUUGAAAUUCAGUAUUCACCAUGGUUCCAGUGGACAGCUUAUCCCGAGGUUUGACAUUUGCCUAUCUUUAGAAAUGCAAUUAGACUUUGCAAAUUGGAAAGAAGUCUUCAUUCCUCCUCAGA